CAACGCCUACGGGACGCAGCAGUGAGGAAUAUUGGUCAAUGGUCGGGAGACUGAACCAGCCAAGCCGCGUGAGGGAUGAAGGUACAGAGUAUCGUAAACCUCUUUUGUCAGGGAACAAAGGCGGGGACGUGUCCCCGGAUGAGUGUACCUGAAGAAAAAGCAUCGGCUAACUCCGUGCCAGCAGCCGCGGUAAUACGGAGGAUGCGAGCGUUAUCCGGAUUUAUUGGGUUUAAAGGGUGCGCAGGCGGUCUGUUAAGUAAGCGGUCAAAGCCUGGGGCUCAA
Molecule: ribosomal RNA, 282 nt
Filed under: uncultured bacterium
Lineage: Bacteria
Description: partial 16S ribosomal RNA
Rfam family: Bacterial small subunit ribosomal RNA
Source: RNAcentral